GCACGAUUGCAGGUGUCAGGGAUGCAAGAGUGAUUAAGAGAGAGGGGGCCCUGCCCUCAUGGAGCCUCACUCCAGAGGGGUCCCCAAAAUGCCCAUGGCCAUUCCAAAGCCACCCAAAAGGAGAGGAAAUGUGGCCAAAUGGAAGUCAAGGUGGAAAGAGGCAGUGAUCUGAAGCAACUAAACAUCUUACCAUUGCAGAGUUUAUAACAAUGGGAAAUGAAGUCUCAGAGAAAUUGUUUUCUGCCUACACAUGGUGGAAGUAUUUCAAAGCUGGAGUUCAAAACCAG
RNAcentral lists this long non-coding RNA (287 nucleotides) under Homo sapiens (human). RNAcentral's name for it is "HSALNT0372464". Lineage: Eukaryota; Metazoa; Chordata; Mammalia; Primates; Hominidae. The record is from RNAcentral.